GACGUAGGGCGCGAGCGUUGUCCGGAAUUAUUGGGCGUAAAGAGCUCGUAGGCGGUCUGUCGCGUCGGCUGUGAAAACCCGGAGCUCAACUCCGGGCCUGCAGUCGAUACGGGCAAACUGGAGUGUUGCAGGGGAGACUGGAAUUCCUGGUGUAGCGGUGAAAUGCGCAGAUAUCAGGAGGAACACCGGUGGCGAAGGCGGGUCUCUGGGCAACAACUGACGCUGAGGAGCGAAAGCGUGGGGAGCGAACAGG
Molecule: ribosomal RNA, 253 nt
Filed under: uncultured bacterium
Lineage: Bacteria
Description: partial 16S ribosomal RNA
Rfam family: Bacterial small subunit ribosomal RNA
Source: RNAcentral